This 72-nucleotide transfer RNA is filed under the name Nelumbo nucifera (sacred lotus). It matches the Rfam family "tRNA". Rfam says of the family: Transfer RNA (tRNA) molecules are approximately 80 nucleotides in length. Their secondary structure includes four short double-helical elements and three loops (D, anti-codon, and T loops). Lineage: Eukaryota; Viridiplantae; Streptophyta; Magnoliopsida; Proteales; Nelumbonaceae. The record is from Rfam by way of RNAcentral.
GGGGAUGUACCUCAAACGAUAGAGCACUCGCUUUGCAUGUGAAAGGUAUGGGGUUCGAUACCCACAUCUCCA